AUUGAACGCUGGCGGCAGGCCUAACACAUGCAAGUCGAGCGGAUGAAGGGAGCUUGCUCCUGGAUUCAGCGGCGGACGGGUGAGUAAUGCCUAGGAAUCUGCCUGGUAGUGGGGGAUAACUUCCGGAAACGGGCGCUAAUACCGCAUACGUCCUGAGGGAGAAAGUGGGGGUUCUUCGGACCUCACGCUAUCAGAUGAGCCUAGGUCGGAUUAGCUAGUUGGUGGGGUAAAGGCCUACCAAGGCGACGAUCCGUAACUGGUCUGAGAGGAUGAUCAGUCACACUGGAACUGAGACACGGUCCAGACUCCUACGGGAGGCAGCAGUGGGGAAUAUUGGACAAUGGGCGAAAGCCUGAUCCAGCCAUGCCGCGUGUGUGAAGAAGGUCUUCGGAUUGUAAAGCACUUUAAGUUGGGAGGAAGGGCAGUAAGUUAAUACCUUGCUGUUUUGACGUUACCAACAGAAUAAGCACCGGCUAACUUCGUG
RNAcentral lists this ribosomal RNA (484 nucleotides) under uncultured bacterium. RNAcentral describes it as "partial 16S ribosomal RNA". It matches the Rfam family "Bacterial small subunit ribosomal RNA", at positions 30 to 507 of the family's 1533-position model. The record is from RNAcentral.